AUCGAGAACAUUUUAUUGAGUACAUCAUUUAUGCAUCAAUAUAUGUGACCAUUAUAAGUCGCUAUAUAUGUUAAAAUUAAUGAGUACCGAGCCUUUCUCCGGCUUAGCUUAACUGAGUUCAAUAAGUAUUGCACAUUUGGCACAGACAAGACAACUGUUAAUUAUUUAGGCCUAAGCAUUGUACUGGGGUAAAUUUUCGGCAUAACAUUACAAACUAUCAAUGGCAUAAAGUUAGAACAAAUACUAAAUGAACAACAAGUGUAUACGAAAAUGGAGAGCGUAUAAAUGCAAGGAUAGGAAUGUACAGAAUCUCAGGAGUAAAAUAAUAAUAAUAAUAAAAAUAAAAUAAAAUAAAAAUGUCAGUGGGGAACAUUAUAUAAACUAUCAAUGGUAUAAACUUGAAGAAUAUAAACUUAACAUGUAUAAAAUAAUAAAGUAUAUGUAUAAAUGCAAGGGUAGCUAGUAAUGCAUAGGGCUUUAGGAGUAAAAAAAGAUAAUAAUAAUAAUAAGAAGAAGAAGAAAAAGAAGAAGAAGAAGAAACAGACAUAGCUGGGGGUGGCAACUUUCCUGGACACAAAAUAUUGGUCCAUCAUCUUUAAUAAACUGAAAUAAAAAUGCUGUGAGAAGGUCAUUUUAAACUUCUUUGUCAUCUUCUUAGAGAGCUUCACCUCAAAUUAGCCUCUACCCAACAACCAUUACUUAUCAUUCACGGACUGAUGUCUUUGUGCUAUGUAGAAAAUAUAUAUCAUCUACGUGUCGGUUUUGGCCUUAAGUCUUAUUUUUAUAGUGCAGGUUAUUCAUUUAUUCUUAUCAUUCAGGUGGAGAUACUUAAUGGGACCUAUGCAGCUAAGUUGGCCUCAAUGCAAAGCUACAAUAUCAUAAACCAGUGUAAAGGUAUCAAAUUCUACUGCACGCUUUCCUAUAUAAAAGUUGUGCGUUUGUUUUGGAAUCUAUUUUAAUCUUUUUCAUUCUGGCGGAGAUGCUUCAUGGGAUCUAUACAGCUGAGUGGCCUUAAUACAACUCUAUGGCAAUAUUAUAAACUUGUGAAAAGGUAUCAAAGUCUACUGUACGUUUUCCUCACUGUAAAAGUUGUGCGUAUAUUUAGGAAUCUAUUUAAUUUCCACUGUUCAGGAGGAGAUAUUUCAUGGGAUCUUUAUAAUGACCUUAACACAACUCUACGACAAUUUUAUAAACCAGUGAAAAGGUAUCAAAGUCUACCGUACGUUUUCCUCGCUGUAAAAGUUGUGCGUAUAUUUAGGAAUCCAUUUAAUUUCCACUGUUCAGGCGGAGAUAUUUCAUGGGAUCUAUACAGCUGAGUGGCAUCAAUAAACUCUACGACAA
This is a long non-coding RNA of Eriocheir sinensis (Chinese mitten crab), 1341 nucleotides long. RefSeq lists it as uncharacterized. Lineage: Eukaryota; Metazoa; Arthropoda; Malacostraca; Decapoda; Varunidae. The record is from RefSeq and is a predicted model, not a curated record. The transcript is spliced from 2 exons.